RNAcentral lists this ribosomal RNA (504 nucleotides) under uncultured bacterium. RNAcentral's name for it is "partial 16S ribosomal RNA". It matches the Rfam family "Bacterial small subunit ribosomal RNA", at positions 29 to 523 of the family's 1533-position model. The record is from RNAcentral.
AUUGAACGCUGGCGGCAGGCCUAACACAUGCAAGUCGGACGGUAGCACAGAGAGCUUGCUCUUGGGUGACGAGUGGCGGACGGGUGAGUAAUGUCUGGGGAUCUGCCCGAUAGAGGGGGAGAACCACUGGAAACGGUGGCUAAUACCGCAUAACGUCGCAAGACCACAGAGGGGGACCUUCGGGCCUCUCACUAUCGGAUGAACCCAGAUGGGAUUAGAUAGUAGGCGGGGUAAUGGCCCACCUAGGCGACGAUCCCUAGCUGGUCUGAGAGGAUGACCAGCCACACUGGAACUGAGACACGGUCCAGACUCCUACGGGAGGCAGCAGUGGGGAAUAUUGCACAAUGGGCGCAAGCCUGAUGCAGCCAUGCCACGUGUAUGAAGAAGGCCUUCGGGUUGUAAAGUACUUUCAGCGGGGAGGAAGGCGGUGAGGUUAAUAACCUCGCCGAUUGACGUUACCCGCAGAAGAAGCACCGGCUAACUUCGUGUCAGCCGCCGCCGUAA